RNAcentral lists this transfer RNA (66 nucleotides) under Sergia lucens. Its description in RNAcentral is "tRNA-Ala". It matches the Rfam family "tRNA". Rfam says of the family: Transfer RNA (tRNA) molecules are approximately 80 nucleotides in length. Their secondary structure includes four short double-helical elements and three loops (D, anti-codon, and T loops). Lineage: Eukaryota; Metazoa; Arthropoda; Malacostraca; Decapoda; Sergestidae. RNAcentral also lists the same sequence under 1 other name. The record is from RNAcentral.
GGAGUUAUAGUCAAUUAUGACAUUUGACUUGCACUCAAAAAGUGCUUCACUAAAGAAGCUAACUUC